AUACUUACCUGGCAGGGGAGACACCAUGAUCAUGAAGGUGGAUUUCCUAGGGCGAGGCUUAUCCAUUGCACUCCGGAUGUGCUGACCCCUGAGAUGUCCCCAAAUGUGGGAAACUCGACUGCAUAUUUUGUGGUACUGGGGGACUGACUCGAAUUCAACCUUGC
Molecule: small nuclear RNA, 164 nt
Organism: Echinops telfairi (small Madagascar hedgehog)
Lineage: Eukaryota; Metazoa; Chordata; Mammalia; Afrosoricida; Tenrecidae
Gene: U1
Rfam family: U1 spliceosomal RNA
About the family: U1 is a small nuclear RNA (snRNA) component of the spliceosome (involved in pre-mRNA splicing).
Source: Ensembl